This is a long non-coding RNA of Andrographis paniculata, 1048 nucleotides long. RefSeq lists it as uncharacterized. The transcript has 2 exons. Lineage: Eukaryota; Viridiplantae; Streptophyta; Magnoliopsida; Lamiales; Acanthaceae. The record is from RefSeq and is a predicted model, not a curated record.
AAGUGCCCCGGAAAAGCCUAAACUCGAUUUGAUGGAUUAAUUCAUUUGAUUUGUUAACUUAUAAGACGCUAGAGUGGUUGCAACUUGUAUUAUAUAUGAUGGGGGGCUUGAGCUUAUUUGAUCGGUGAUUCAAGGUUUAUGCUGCUUUUGGCUAUCCGUAUUCCCCAUGCCCCCCAUAGUGCUCCACCCUAUUUCGAAACUAUGUCGAAUUUUUCUUUGAAAGAGCUUUUUGAUUGCGGUUGGGUAGAAAAUAUUAUGUUCUCCAAAAGAAGAAGGGCGUCUUGCCUUCGAUCCCUCCCUACUUGGAACUUCUCUCUUCUUACCAAAUUUAUUUGGUUGCUUCAGUCGGACGAGCACCACUGCUAUUUUGGAUCUCAAAACUUCUGGCAGAGAUUGCCCUCUUAUUGCUCGUAUUUUGUUUGCUACUUAGUCCAGAUUCAAGACAAGCUCAUUCACUGUUUCGGUUCUGCCAAACAGGCCAAAGACCAACUGAACUUUUGGUUUGGGUCGAAUACAAAAGCGCUUUGGGAAAACUCAAAUCAAGAAUCGACUCAUGUUUCUAUAUCUCAAUCUGAUAUGUGACUUGUGCGAGGAACAUCUGAAAAAUAUUGCUCACCUCUUCUUCAUGUGCUCCUUUUCGACUAAAGUUUGGUCUUCUAUUGCGAGUGGCUUCAAGCGCCGAGGGGACUAGGGAUUCUUGCCCAAGCAGCCAAUGGGUUCAUCAAGAACAGCAAUAACAAUUCAGCACUUAUUGAGGCGCUUAGUCCUACCAGCCUCGAUUUUCUAUAGCUCGACAAAACUUGUUAAGUUGCACACUUAAUUGGAAACAGAAGCUAGCUGGUUCUCCCCAAAAUGCGCUGAGAGAUCAUAUGUAAGUUUGUCCUUUUUCUCAUUUGAUUUUGAAAGAGACGGAUGGAUUUAUGAUCGAUGCUGCUCGGAACAACGACAGUUUAUAACCGACUUUAGUUUUUGCCCAGCAGAACUUUUCAGUAAUUGUUGUUCUACGUUCAGGCGUGUGGCUGAUAUUUUAAAACACCAGCUUUUGUCC